AUUGAACGCUGGCGGCAGGCCUAACACAUGCAAGUCGAGCGGAUGAAGGUAGCUUGCUCCUGGAUUCAGCGGCGGACGGGUGAGUAAUGCCUAGGAAUCUGCCUGGUAGUGGGGGAUAACGUCCGGAAACGGGCGCUAAUACCGCAUACGUCCUGCGGGAGAAAGUGGGGGAUCUUCGUACCUCACGCUAUCAGAUGAGCCUAGGUCGGAUUAGCUAGUUGGUGGGGUAAAGGCCUACCAAGGCGACGAUCCGUAACUGGUCUGAGAGGAUGAUCAGUCACACGGGAACUGAGACGCGGUCCAGACUCCUACGGGAGGCAGCAGUGGGGAAUAUUGGACAAUGGGCGAAAGCCUGAUCCAGCCAUGCCGCGUGUGUGAAGAAGGUCUUCGGAUUGUAAAGCACUUUAAGUUGGGAGGAAGGGCAGUAAGUUAAUACCUUGCUGUUUUGACGUUACCAACAGAAUAAGCACCGGCUAACUUCGUG
Molecule: ribosomal RNA, 484 nt
Filed under: uncultured bacterium
Lineage: Bacteria
Description: partial 16S ribosomal RNA
Rfam family: Bacterial small subunit ribosomal RNA
Source: RNAcentral